GGGAAUAUUGCACAAUGGGGGAAACCCUGAUGCAGCGACGCCGCGUGAGUGAAGAAGCGCCUCGGCGCGUAAAGCUCUGUCAGCAGGAACGACGAUGACGGUACCUGAAGAAGAAGCCCCGGCUAACUACGUGCCAGCAGCCGCGGUAAUACGUAGGGGGCAAGCGUUAUCCGGAAUUACUGGGUGUAAAGGGAGAGUAGGCGGCAAGGUAAGCGAUAUGUGAAAGCCUUAGGCUUAACCUGAGGAUUGCAUAACGAACUAUCUAGCUAGAGUACAGGAGAGGAAAGCGGAAUUCCUAGUGUAGCGGUGAAAUGCGUAGAUAUUAGGAAGAACACCAGUGGCGAAGGCGGCUUUCUGGACUGAAACUGACGCUGAGGCUCGAAAGCGUGGGGAGCGAACAG
RNAcentral lists this ribosomal RNA (401 nucleotides) under uncultured bacterium. RNAcentral's name for it is "bacterial SSU rRNA". It matches the Rfam family "Bacterial small subunit ribosomal RNA", at positions 357 to 775 of the family's 1533-position model. The record is from RNAcentral.